CCUACGGGAGGCAGCAGUGAGGAAUAUUGGUCAAUGGGCGCGAGCCUGAACCAGCCCAGUAGCGUGAAGGAUGACUGCCCUACGGGUUGUACACUUCUUUUAUAAAGGAAUAAAGUGAGGCACGUGUGCCUUUUUGUAAGUACUUUAUGCAUAAGGAUCGGCUAACUCCGUGCCAGCAGCCGCGGUAAUACGGAGGCUCCGAGCGUUAUCCGGAUUUAUUGGGUUUAAAGGGAGCGUAGAUGGGUUGUUAAGUCAGUUGUGAAAGUUUGUGGCUCAACCGUAAAAUUGCAAUUGAUACUGGCAGUCUUGAGUACAGUUGAGGUAGGCGGAAUUCGUGGUGUAGCGGUGAAAUGCUGAGAUAUCACGAAGAACUCCGAGUGCGAAGGCAGCUUACUAAACUGCCACUGACAUUGAUGCUCGAAAGUGUGGGUAUCAAACAGGAGUAGAUACCCUGGUAGUC
RNAcentral lists this ribosomal RNA (460 nucleotides) under uncultured bacterium. RNAcentral's name for it is "partial 16S ribosomal RNA". It matches the Rfam family "Bacterial small subunit ribosomal RNA", at positions 338 to 795 of the family's 1533-position model. The record is from RNAcentral.